Molecule: non-coding RNA, 100 nt
Filed under: Streptomonospora alba
Lineage: Bacteria; Bacillati; Actinomycetota; Actinomycetes; Streptosporangiales; Nocardiopsidaceae
Description: Glycine sequence
Rfam family: Glycine riboswitch aptamer
About the family: This family represents the bacterial glycine riboswitch.
Source: Rfam by way of RNAcentral
UGAAUCCGUACGGGAGAGAGUCCGUGCAGCCGGCGCGGGCCGCCGAAGGAGCAAUUCCUCCCCAGAGAACCUCUCAGGCGCUGUGGACCGUACGGUCGAG